Unclassified non-coding RNA from Papio anubis (olive baboon), 148 nucleotides. It matches the Rfam family "Metazoan signal recognition particle RNA". From Rfam's summary of the family: The signal recognition particle (SRP) is a universally conserved ribonucleoprotein. It is involved in the co-translational targeting of proteins to membranes. The eukaryotic SRP consists of a 300-nucleotide 7S RNA and six proteins: SRPs 72, 68, 54, 19, 14, and 9. NCBI's taxonomy places the organism in Eukaryota, Metazoa, Chordata, Mammalia, Primates, Cercopithecidae. The record is from Ensembl.
GCUGGGUAUGGUGGUGCAUACCUGUUGUCCCAGCUACUCAGGAGGCUGAGGUGGGAGGAUCGCUUGAGCCCAGGAGUUCGAGGCUGCAGUGAGCCAAGAUCACACCACUGCACUCCAGCCUGGGCACCAGAGUGAGACCCUGUCUCUA